CCUACGGGUGGCAGCAGUGGGGGAUAUUGCACAAUGGGGGAAACCCUGAUGCAGCGACGCCGCGUGGGUGAAGGAGCGUUUAGGCGCGUAAAGCUCUAUCGGCAGGGAAGAAGGAGGACGGUACCUGACUAAGAAGCCCCGGCUAACUACGUGCGAGCAGCCGCGCGAAUACGCCGGGGGCAAGCGUUAUCCGGAUUUACUGGGUGUAAAGGGGGCGCAGACGGCUGCGCAAGCCAGGAGUGAAAGCCCGGGGCCCAACCCGGGGAGUGCUCUUGGAACUGCGCGGCUGGAGUGCAGGAGGGGCAGGCGGAAUUCCUGGUGGAGCGGUGAAAUGCGUAGAUAUCAGGAGGAACACCGGUGGCGAAGGCGGCCUGCUGGACUGCGACUGACGUUGAGGCCCGAAAGCGUGGGGAGCAAACAGGAUUAGAUACCCGGGUAGUC
This 441-nucleotide ribosomal RNA is filed under the name uncultured bacterium. RNAcentral describes it as "partial 16S ribosomal RNA". It matches the Rfam family "Bacterial small subunit ribosomal RNA", at positions 338 to 795 of the family's 1533-position model. The record is from RNAcentral.